This 1012-nucleotide ribosomal RNA is filed under the name Bacillus sp. (in: firmicutes). RNAcentral's name for it is "bacterial SSU rRNA". It matches the Rfam family "Bacterial small subunit ribosomal RNA", at positions 75 to 1071 of the family's 1533-position model. Lineage: Bacteria; Bacillati; Bacillota; Bacilli; Caryophanales; Bacillaceae. The record is from RNAcentral.
GGAGCUUGCUCCCGGAUGUUAGCGGCGGACGGGUGAGUAACACGUGGGUAACCUGCCUGUAAGACUGGGAUAACUCCGGGAAACCGGAGCUAAUACCGGAUAGUUCCUUGAACCGCAGGGUUCAAGGAUGAAAGACGGUUUCGGCUGUCACUUACAGAUGGACCCGCGGCGCAUUAGCUAGUUGGUGGGGUAAUGGCUCACCAAGGCGACGAUGCGUAGCCGACCUGAGAGGGUGAUCGGCCACACUGGGACUGAGACACGGCCCAGACUCCUACGGGAGGCAGCAGUAGGGAAUCUUCCGCAAUGGACGAAAGUCUGACGGAGCAACGCCGCGUGAGUGAUGAAGGUUUUCGGAUCGUAAAGCUCUGUUGUUAGGGAAGAACAAGUGCGAGAGUAACUGCUCGCACCUUGACGGUACCUAACCAGAAAGCCACGGCUAACUACGUGCCAGCAGCCGCGGUAAUACGUAGGUGGCAAGCGUUGUCCGGAAUUAUUGGGCGUAAAGGGCUCGCAGGCGGUUUCUUAAGUCUGAUGUGAAAGCCCCCGGCUCAACCGGGGAGGGUCAUUGGAAACUGGGAAACUUGAGUGCAGAAGAGGAGAGUGGAAUUCCACGUGUAGCGGUGAAAUGCGUAGAGAUGUGGAGGAACACCAGUGGCGAAGGCGACUCUCUGGUCUGUAACUGACGCUGAGGAGCGAAAGCGUGGGGAGCGAACAGGAUUAGAUACCCUGGUAGUCCACGCCGUAAACGAUGAGUGCUAAGUGUUAGGGGGUUUCCGCCCCUUAGUGCUGCAGCUAACGCAUUAAGCACUCCGCCUGGGGAGUACGGUCGCAAGACUGAAACUCAAAGGAAUUGACGGGGGCCCGCACAAGCGGUGGAGCAUGUGGUUUAAUUCGAAGCAACGCGAAGAACCUUACCAGGUCUUGACAUCCUCUGACAACCCUAGAGAUAGGGCUUUCCCUUCGGGGACAGAGUGACAGGUGGUGCAUGGUUGUCGUCAGCUCGUGUCGUGAG